RNAcentral lists this ribosomal RNA (383 nucleotides) under uncultured eukaryote. RNAcentral's name for it is "partial 18S ribosomal RNA". It matches the Rfam family "Eukaryotic small subunit ribosomal RNA", at positions 592 to 976 of the family's 1831-position model. The record is from RNAcentral.
CCAUAGCGUAUAUUAAAGUUGUUGCAGUUAAAAAGCUCGUAGUUGGAUUUCUGGUGGGAGCGAUCGGUCUGGCGCUUAGCGCGAGUACUUGCAUCGUCUCCGGCCAUCCUUGGGGAGAGUCUGUCUGGCAUUAAGUUGUCGGGCAGAGGAUCCUCAUCGUUUACUGUGAAAAAAUUAGAGUGUUCAAAGCAGGCUUAUGCCGUUGAAUAUAUUAGCAUGGAAUAAUAAGAUAGGACUUUGGUACUAUUUUGUUGGUUUGCGCACCAAAGUAAUGAUUAAUAGGGACAGUUGGGGGUAUUCGUAUUCCGUUGUCAGAGGUGAAAUUCUUGGAUUUACGGAAGACGAACUACUGCGAAAGCAUUUACCAAGGAUGUUUUCAUUAA